CAGUCGCCACGGGAAUACGAAGGGUGCAAGCGUUAAUCGGAAUUACUGGGCGUAAAGCGUGCGUAGGCGGUGAGUUAAGUCUGCUGUGAAAUCCCCGGGCUCAACCUGGGAAUGGCAGUGGAUACUGGCUCGCUAGAGUGUGUCAGAGGAUGGUGGAAUUCCCGGUGUAGCGGUGAAAUGCGUAGAGAUCGGGAGGAACAUCAGUGGCGAAGGCGGCCAUCUGGGACAACACUGACGCUGAGGCACGAAAGCGUGGGGAGCAAACAGGAUUAGAUACCCGCGUAGUCCCUGUCUCUUAUAC
This 301-nucleotide ribosomal RNA is filed under the name uncultured bacterium. RNAcentral's name for it is "partial 16S ribosomal RNA". It matches the Rfam family "Bacterial small subunit ribosomal RNA", at positions 509 to 807 of the family's 1533-position model. The record is from RNAcentral.